This 4278-nucleotide long non-coding RNA is filed under the name Heterocephalus glaber (naked mole-rat). RNAcentral describes it as "lncRNA (ENSHGLG00100048733.1)". The record is from RNAcentral. Lineage: Eukaryota; Metazoa; Chordata; Mammalia; Rodentia; Bathyergidae.
AUGAGAACCAAGAUAUAUCAUGUACAGGUACAAAUUCCCAAUGAUGAAUGUCAUCAUAUUGAAUACAUGAAAUGUACCAAUAAACUUUUAUUUACUCUUUUUUUUUUUUGGUAGUGGGGAUCGAACUCAGGACCUUUUGUAUUCGAGGCAGGCACCAGAACCACUGAGCUAAAUCCCCAGCCCUGUACCAAUAAAUUUAAUGAAUAAAGAAAUUUAAAAAAAAAAUUUGGGCCAGGCGUGGUGGCAUACUCCUGUAGUCUCAGCACUUGGGAGGCUGAGGCAGGCAGAUCACCACAAGUUCAAGGCCAACUUGGAGUACAUAGUGAGUUUAAGGCCAGCCUGAAGUACCCUGUCUUAGAAAAAAACCAAAAACAACAAAAACAAAUUUGCUUGUACUCUACCUUCUCCAUUUGUGGUUUCAUUCUUUGUCACCAUGGGACACGAUCCCAGCAUUCUGAUACCACAAUCAUAUUUCUCCAUAGCUGUCCAUGUUUCAUUGAACCUACAUAAGCGUAAAAAAGGACAGCUCACCUGGUUCUUUAGGCCUUCCUUUCUGAAGUCUCCUGGGUCCCUUAAUGCUAUGUUCAAAUAAAUUUGUUAUGUUUUUGUCUUGUUAAUUUGCCUUUGGUUGUAAGAGUGUCAGCCAUGAUUCCAUGAUGACCAGGAAAGAGAUCAACCCCUACUUCACCCUGUUAUGGUUUAAAUAUGAAGUAUUCCCCCAAAGACUCAUAUAAUCAGGGCUUGAUUCCCAGGGUAGUAAUUUUCAGAGGUGGGGCCUAGAGAGGUGAUUGAUCAUGCAGGUGCUAACCUCAUCAAUGGAUUAAUCCAUUGACAUCCAUUGAUGAGUUCAUAGCUGAAUGGGUUAUCGGGAGGUAGAACCCAAUUGGAGGAAGUAGGUCACUGUGGGUGUGACUUUGAAGGACAUAUCUUGUCCCCAGUACUCCCUUACUUCCCUAGCCACCGUGAGAUGAGCAGCUUUCUUCCACCAUGAUGUUCCACCCUUCUGUCAUGAUGUUUCUUUCUUGCCUCGGCCCUAAAAGCAAUGGAGUCAGCUGACCAUAGACUGAAUUCCCUUCAAAUGUGAGCCAAACUAAACCUCUCCUCCUUUUAAAUUGUGAGUGUCAGGUAUUGUGUCCAGCAACAGGAAAGCUAAUGCAAUAAUUAUAUAUUCAUUCUAUUGGCUGUAUUGUUGCCAGAGUGCCAAGGUUGUGUCCCAUGACAAUGAAGAAUAAAACUGUGGACAGAGCAGGCAGAGUGUAAGCAAAUUUAUUUAAAAGACAUAAAGGCAAGAAAGUAAAAGAUAUAAAGGCAAAAUAGAACUCCCACUAGCUGGGAGGGGGUCCUGAGCAGGAUACCCAUAAAGCCUCUUUGUCUAGGGUUUUUUAAGGGGUUUAGAAGGAACCUUAGGUGGUUGUGCAAGUGAUAUGAUUUCUACCCUAUACAAGACUACAUACUUCUCAGGGUUCUAUCUGUGCAGUAUUCAUGCAGAGGCCAUGCACCCUUAAGCGAAUGGCCUGCCAAAUCAUGCUCCGGGGAGGUCCCUGACAGCCAAAGGACACCUGGCAGAUGUUUUUGUAAGAUCCUGGGAAGUUGGUGACUCUGCUGACUCCAUUUUGAGCUUCCUGACUCCAUUUUAGGGCCACUGUCCUUACUGCUUCAUAGAAUCCUAACUUGUGUCUCAAUGUUCCUCUGGAGAACCCUGACUAAUAUAUUCCUUUGGUAGCAGGGCAUGUUGGUACAUAUCUGUAAUCUCAGCACUUUGGAAGGCUGAGGCAGAAAGAUCACAAGUUAGAGCCCAGCCUGGACAAUUUAGUGAUUUUAAAUCCUAUCUCAAAAUUAAAAGCAAAAAAAGGGCGGGAUGUAAAAGUCCUGGGUUCAAUUUCCAGUAUCAGAAAAAAAAAAUACUCCCUUGGUGACACGCCCAAGAUUCUCCCUUCCCCUUCAAGCUGCUGUGGUCACACGGAAUUUUAUCCUUUGAUUCUCCAAGCCAGUAAAACAGAGUUUGGAGUGGCAUUUUAGUCUCCCUGCCUGCUUUCCAUUAAUUUCCAGUGUAUACAGGCAGUUUUAAAAAAAAAUAUUCUGUCCAGAUUUUUUGAUUGUUGUCUGUGGAAGGGAUGGCCCAAUAGAAGCCAUGCCUUCAUUAUCAAAAUCCAGAACUAUGCAACACUUUUGGUUGCCAACAUGUAAUGAGACUCUCCAAGACAGGAAAUACAAUAUGCAGUAUUUAUAUUUAUUCAAUAAAAGAGCUUUUUUUCUUCUUUUCUCUUCUUUUUGGAACUGCUGCAGAAUGACUACUUUGCUUCAUUUUGGAAAAAACUGGUCAAAGGACAGCCUUACUCAAGAUGCUCUUACAACUUCUUGUCAAAUUACAGAUCUUGCUUAUUAUCCAUUUAAAUUUAAUUCUUGCCUAAUUAAAUGGUGUAGAAAACAUACCUGCUUGAAAUACCUUGCAAUUUAAGGUGAAAACUUGACCUUCAUUACAACGUAGGAAUGAUAAGAGAAUAUUAAAUACUUGUCAUUUCCACUUUAAAAUGUUUGAGCACCUAGGCUUUUGUAAUUGGACAAUAGAAAAAUACUUCAUAUAAGAUUGUAUUCUGAAUGUAGUCAAAAUGGCCACACUUCCAAAACUGAUAUAUAGAUUUAAUACAAUCCGAAUCAAAAUACCAACAGCAUUUCUCACAGAUCUAGAGGAAACUAUCCAAAAAUUCAUUUGAAACCAGAUGAGACCCAGAAUAGCAAAACAAUCCUGAGUAACAAAACCAAAGCAGGACCUAAAAUGUACCAAUACAUGUUUUGCUAUCAAAAACGAACAAAAGACAAAAAAAUCCAAAGCAUUAGCCAUCACAAUCCAAGAUUUGAAGUUAUAUUACAAAGCUACAGUGGCAAAAACAGCAUGAUACUGGCACAAAAAAAGACUUGUUGAUCAAUGGAACAGAAUAGAAGAAGUAGAAACAGCCCCAGGCACAUUCAGCUAUUUGACAAAGGGGCCAAAACAUACACUGAAGGAAAGAUAGCCUCUUUAACAAAUGGUACUGGGAAAAUUGAAUAUCCACAUGUAGAAGAUUGAAUCUAGUCCCAUGUAUCUCACCAUGUACUAAACUACAAUCAAAAUGGAUCAAAGAUCGGAAUGUUAAUCUGCUAGAAGAUAAAAUAGGUAAAACUCUUGAAGACAUAGAUGAAGACAAGGACUUUCUGAACAGAACUCUAUGGCACAAGAAAUAGUACUGAAGACCAAUAAAUGGGAUCAUAUUAAAAUAAAAAGCUUCUGGAUAGCAAAGAAAGCAAGCAACUGAGUGAAGAAACAACCUACAGAAUAGGAAAAAAAUUUGCCAGCUAAUCCUUAGAGGACUAACAUCUAGAAGAUAGAAAGAAUUUUAAAAAAUUAGACUCCCCAAAAUAAAGACCUAAUCAAAAAAUGGGCAAUGGAAAUGAACAGACACUUCUCACAAAAAGUACAGAUGGCCAAUAAAUAUGUGAAAAAAUGUUCAACGUCUCUGGACAUUAGAGAAAUCCAAAUUAAAACAACACCUAGAUUCUAGUUUACUCCAGAAAAAAUGGCUAUCACCAAGAAAUCAAGAAAAAAUGCUGGCAAGGCAUGGGGAAUAAGGAACUCUUCUACAUUGUUUAUAGGAAUGUAAACUUGUACAACCAAGGACAACAUGGAAAUGGUGUGGAGAUUCCUCAAAACACUACAACUAGAAAUUCCAUUUUACCUAGCUAUUCUUUAGGUAUCUUCUGGAAAGAGUUAAAGAUAUCAUAUUACCGUGAAAUAUGUAUACUCAUAUUUAUAGCACCAUAAUUCACAAUAUCUAAAUAUUAGAAAUGGCCUACAUGCUCAUCAAUAGAUGAAUGGAUAAAGAAAAUGUGGUAUUUAUACACAGUGGAGUACUACAGUACCAUAAAGAAGAAUAAAAUUGAAUCACUUAUGCUGGCCCCAGGGAUCAAAGUCAAGCUUGCUUCCACAGGGAAGAGAGGGAGCACAGAUGGCCAGGAGGGAUGGCGCAAGCCUGAAGUCAUCUCUUGUCUCAAUUAUGCCCCUCCCCUCUGUUCCUUUCUAUAAAAGGCCCUUGUGCACCUGGACACAGUGUGAUGGUGAUUUGAGGCAAAUGAGGCCCCUCCAUCUCCUUGGAGCCAGUUUUAAAUAAAGCAUUUUUCCUUUUCACCAAAAUAAAUGGCCUUCUUUGUUUGGGUCAGCAACAAGCAAAUGAAACUGAGCAUAUGGACCCACGAGGCCAGUACCACGUUAAAAGAGAAGAUGGUGAAAUAAAAGAGGAAAAC